This 74-nucleotide transfer RNA is filed under the name Pseudonocardia hydrocarbonoxydans. Its description in RNAcentral is "tRNA-Ser". Lineage: Bacteria; Bacillati; Actinomycetota; Actinomycetes; Pseudonocardiales; Pseudonocardiaceae. The record is from RNAcentral.
ACCCGGACCGGGGUGUAGAGGGAGUACGUGGUGCUGGAGCCACCGGUGAGCUGGUUGAACACCAGCUCCGGGCG